UUUUGUCUGGUAAGUGGCAACCACAUUUCAUCAAAAGAGCUCAAAUCCUCUUUCUCGCCUGUUUAUCCCUGCACGCCAUUGACGAUCAACUCGAUGGAAAGGUCGCUUCCCUUCUCCUCUUUGAUCCGCCCCUUGCUAGAAAAGGUGGAAGAUGCGAUCAGGAGUGUGAUGGGGAAAUUUUCUUGGGCUUGGAAAAACUAGGCUAGUGACUGUUGUGUGCUUAUCAAACGCAUCAGAUUCUUUUCGGGUCAACACAUAUCGAACCAACCUGGGCGUCCAUCUCUUUGUUUUUUCCCUCGUUGGCGUGUUAAUUCUUCUGGUUUCGCUGGAGAUUCUUUGCUCUUCCUCCCGCUGCAUAUAUUUUUUCUAACUCAAUUUCUGUU
This 383-nucleotide long non-coding RNA is filed under the name Spirodela polyrhiza (greater duckweed). RNAcentral describes it as "long non-coding RNA (SPOL_LNC002518)". Lineage: Eukaryota; Viridiplantae; Streptophyta; Magnoliopsida; Alismatales; Araceae. The record is from RNAcentral.